GGGGCAGUAGCUCAGUGGUAGAGCUCCCGCCUCAUAUGCGGGAAGACCUGGGUCCGAUCCCCGGCUGCUUCC
Molecule: transfer RNA, 72 nt
Filed under: Toxocara canis (dog roundworm)
Lineage: Eukaryota; Metazoa; Nematoda; Chromadorea; Rhabditida; Toxocaridae
Rfam family: tRNA
About the family: Transfer RNA (tRNA) molecules are approximately 80 nucleotides in length. Their secondary structure includes four short double-helical elements and three loops (D, anti-codon, and T loops). Further hydrogen bonds mediate the characteristic L-shaped molecular structure. tRNAs have two regions of fundamental functional importance: the anti-codon, which is responsible for specific mRNA codon recognition, and the 3' end, to which the tRNAs corresponding amino acid is attached (by aminoacyl-tRNA synthetases). tRNAs cope with the degeneracy of the genetic code in two manners: having more than one tRNA (with a specific anti-codon) for a particular amino acid; and 'wobble' base-pairing, i.e. permitting non-standard base-pairing at the 3rd anti-codon position.
Source: Rfam by way of RNAcentral